GAAUGUAGUGAAUUUGUUCCA
RNAcentral lists this microRNA (21 nucleotides) under Oryza sativa (Asian cultivated rice). RNAcentral's name for it is "osa-miR417". Its record names the gene osa-miR417. The record is from miRBase by way of RNAcentral. Lineage: Eukaryota; Viridiplantae; Streptophyta; Magnoliopsida; Poales; Poaceae.